RNAcentral lists this long non-coding RNA (565 nucleotides) under Homo sapiens (human). RNAcentral's name for it is "HSALNT0126666". Lineage: Eukaryota; Metazoa; Chordata; Mammalia; Primates; Hominidae. The record is from RNAcentral.
CAGGAAGCUGGUGACGGCGAUGAACGGGCUCUGAAUAUGGAGAUAGAACACUGGAGUCGAAGUCCCAGCCCCCUCUGUCGCUCUCUCUGAAGCUCAGUGACUACUCCAGUAUUAAAUGAUGCAUGUAUAAAGUUAGUCACUCUAUCAUUAUCUGUAAUAGCAGAUGAUUGGAAAUGACCUAAAUGUCUCAUAAUAAGGAACUAGUUUUAAAAAGCAUGUUCCAUUCAUGCCUUGAAAUACUAUACAUUGAAAAAAUAAAAAUUGUAUAAAUAUGUGAAAAAAACAGUGUGUAUAUUAUACUACGACUUACUUCUUUGUGCAUAGAUGUUCUACAAGGCUAUAUAAAAGAUUGUUAAUUAUGGUUGUCUCUUGGGAGGGGGAGUUUAGAUUGUAUAAUGGGGUAGAAGGCUGACUUUUCGUUGUUUACUAUUCUGCACCUUCUGGAUUUUGUACUAUGUAUAUAUUUUAUAUAUUAAAAUAGCUUUAUAUAAAUAAAACUAGCCCCAUGGCUGAAUAAAUUUUAUUACAAUUUUCUUAUGAUUCCCUGAUACUCUGUUCCUUAACU